UCUUGGCUUAGGAUGAACGCUAGCUACAGGCUUAACACAUGCAAGUCGAGGGGCAGCAUUGGAGUAGCAAUACUCAGAUGGCGACCGGCGCGCGGGUGAGUAACACGUAUCCAACCUGCCGCUUACUCGGGGAUAGCCUUUCGAAAGAAAGAUUAGUACCCGAUGGUAUAAAGAGUUCGCAUGUUCUCUUUAUUAAAGAAUUUCGGGUAAGCGAUGGGGAUGCGUUCCAUUAGAUAGUUGGCGGGGUAACGGCCCACCAAGUCUACGAUGGAUAGGGGUUCUGAGAGGAAGGUCCCCCACAUUGGAACUGAGACACGGUCCAAACUCCUACGGGAGGCAGCAGUGAGGAAUAUUGGUCAAUGGACGAGAGUCUGAACCAGCCAAAAGUAGCGUGAAGGAUGACUGCCCUAUGGGUUGUAAACUUCUUUUAUAAGGGAAUAAAGUGAGGGACGUGUCCCUUUUUGUAUGUACCUUAUGAAUAAGGAUCGGCUAACUCCGUGCCAGCCGCCGC
This 511-nucleotide ribosomal RNA is filed under the name uncultured bacterium. RNAcentral describes it as "bacterial SSU rRNA". It matches the Rfam family "Bacterial small subunit ribosomal RNA", at positions 17 to 518 of the family's 1533-position model. The record is from RNAcentral.